GAAGAAUGCCGCUAGGAACAUUCACACGCAGGUUUUUGGUGUGGACGUAUGUUUGUAUUUCUCCUGGGCACACCCGGGAUGGAGCUGCUGGGUGGCAUGGAAUUCCACCUGUGACUUACUGAAGAGCUGCCAGGCAGUUUCCCAGAGGGGCUUCAUCGCUCUGCCUCCCCCCGCCGCUCCUCACCCCGCCGCUCCUCACCCCCCGCCGCUCCCCCACACACCCCCCGCCGCUCCACACACCCCCCGCCGCUCCCUCACACCCCCCGCCGCUCCCUCACACCCCCCGCCGCUCCCACACACACACCCCGCCGCUCCCUCACAGCCCCCGCCGCUCCCUCACACCCCCCGCCGCUCCCUCACAGCCCCCGCCGCUCCCACACACACACCCCGCCGCUCCCUCACAGCCCCCGCCGCUCCCCCCCACACCCCCCGCCGCUCCCUCACAUCCCCCGCCGCUCCCUCACACCCCCCGCCGCUCCCUCACACCCCCCGCCGCUCCCACACACACCCCCCGCCGCUCCCACACACACCCCCCGCCGCUCCCACACACACCCCCCGCCGCUCCCACACACACCCCCCGCCGCUCCCACACACACCCCCCGCCGCUCCCACACACACCCCCCGCCGCUCCCACACACACCCCCGCCGCUCCCACACACCCCCCGCCGCUCCCUCACACCCCCCGCCGCUCCCCCACACACCCCCCGCCGCUCCCCCACACACCCCGCCGCUCCCACACACACCCCCCGCCGCUCCCACACACACCCCCCGCCGCUCCCCCACACACCCCCCGCCGCUGGUCACGGGUCCACCCUUCAACUGCAGCCAUCCCAGGGGGUGUGAAGUGGAUCUCACUGUGGUUUUUAUUUUCAUUUCCCUGAUACAGAAUCCACAGAGACAUAAACAGACGAGUGGUUCUGAGGGGUGGGUGGGGUGGGGCGUGAGGCAGGGAGAAGAGGGAGAAGGUUCUGGAAUUAGAUGGUGGUGAUGGUCACACAAGGUGGUGAAUUGAACAUACUAAAAACCACUGACUUGUACCUUUUAAACUGGUGAAUUUUAUCCCAAUGAAAAAAAAACACCUUGUUCCUCCUUUGAGACCCAGCUCUCGCGCCCACUCCUCCAAGAGCCCGGGGUGUCUCUGCACCUCAUUCAUAUCACUGGUGUGACUUUUGUAUCUUGUGCUGUGAUGUGGACAGCAGACCCUUCUCCCUUGUAUGUUUAACACGCGUGUUGUGGUGUGGUGUGGUGUUGGCUGCUCAGGACACACCCUGUCGUCCACCGCACUCGGGGAGUUUCCUGCGUGACACUGGGGUCAGCAGCGUGGUUGGAAUCUGGUGAUGGAGCUGGUCCCUGCCCACAGCCCCCGCCACAUCAGUGGCUUUUCCCGCAGCUCCCCACAAAAGGAUGUGCCGCCUAGCAGAGAUGAGAAUCAGGUUUUCUUGUAAGAAAGAGUUGCUGAAGGAAAGCCGGUCACGUGCAGUGAUGUUGUGAAAGAAAGUGAUGACAAGCUAAAAAAAGAAGGACACUGAGAAAACAUUAUUAUCAGCAGAGUUUAUCUGGGCCAGAUUUGGGGACCCCAACCCCAGGAUGCUACCUCAGGAGUGUUCUGAGUUGCAGCGAUUACAAGCAGAUUUUUUAAGGACAAAAUGAGGAGAUGUGGCAAGGUGGUCCCAGCCCCUUCACCUAGAGGGGCCCUUGUUGACAGAGGUGAGCUGAUGAAUGAUCAGUUGAAGACUCCCGUGCUUCUGGGAAUAGUCAUUGUGAGCAUGUGGUCAGCCCGGUUGCUAGAAUUCUUCCCAUGAGCAGGUGGGGUCCAGGAACUUCAGGGGCUGACUGUGGCCUCAUGCCCAGUACCUUUAGCCAUUUUAAUUUACCAAACCUCAUUGUCCCAUUCUCUUUUCAGGUUCUUGGCCAUAAAAUAUGGCUUUUGGAAAAAUAAAGCUGAGACUUGGAGUUCACGGUGGGGGCUCCCCCAUCUGUGAACAGAAGCAGAAGUUUGGAACUGCCUUCUUUACUGCUCGAGAGGGAAAACUUGAGUGAAAACCAGGAUGCUGGCGAAUGUUGAGUAGCUAAGCUGCACAGGAAAUACCACUUGAUGACCUGCGAUCUGGGGAAGCCGCGCCAGGGCUCUGCGAAGCUGCGGACGAGGGAGGCGUCAGUGUGGGGGCUGCAGCUCAGCUCCGGGGGGGACGCGCCUUUCUCCACGGGACCUGGGGCUCAGGUGCUCACGAGGCUGGGGCGCUGCAGGCCACCCGCAGGGGAAACUGAGGCCCUCCAUUUUGUGGGGCUGGAAGACCUUUCCUUCCAAAAGCAGGUGUAGGCGGGAGCACCUGUGCAGUCCCUCUGUUCAGAUCCUCACCCACUUUUAAAUCAGGAAACAGCAGAUGAAAUGCACAGUGUGAAGGACAAGGAUUCUGCUGAGAGAAUUGCUCCGAGGGUUGCUCAAGUGAUCAUGGGAAAUAAUGCAUCAAACCAUUCUUUAGAUGCAGCUCAGGUGUGCCUUUUCUUCGCCUGUGCCCAUCCACCUGAGAUGGACCAUAACCAUAAAAGUCAGAAGGCACUGACCCUUCAGGACGUGACAGGGUUAAAAGAUGCUGGAGGGAAAGUCUGUCAUUGACUUUUAUUCACUUCCUUUCUCCAUUCUGCCAUUUGGAAGAAGGUAAGCAACUUAACACUAUUUUAGACCAUAUGUUGUAAACUAGCAGGAAAAUGCCUUUGAG
Molecule: long non-coding RNA, 2720 nt
Filed under: Homo sapiens (human)
Lineage: Eukaryota; Metazoa; Chordata; Mammalia; Primates; Hominidae
Description: HSALNT0324968
Source: RNAcentral